GGAGAACAACAGGGGAGUCACCUGGACAGAAGAAGUUACCUGGGGAGGGUGAACCGUGCUGGACACAGAGUGAGAAACCUGGCUUCCACCCUAGCCCCCCUGCUUGCCAGGUGCCUGGGGGCAGAGUAUCCAAUGGACUCUAAGCUCUGAGGAAGGAGCCACAAGACGGCAAGAGCAUGAGUCCCUGAAGGACUAUGUGGAGCAUCUCCCCCAAGCCCUGCCACCCUGAAUGAAAAAAAAGGAAAAUAUUCAACAGGCCCUGAAACCAUCUGGUUGAAGGCAGAGGGACACCUUGAACUCAGGACCUCAGGUCUCCAGAUUGCAACUUUCUGAUACUGUCCACCACCUUCUGCCCCACCCACAGUUCUAUACCCAUCUUGUUGGGAGUGCUCUUUGGGGAGAAGCAUAACUCAGUGACUUGUAGUCAGAUAACCCUAGGUUGUUGGCCUCUUGAUUCUGGCACUUACUAAACCACGCGUCUUUGGGCAAGUCUCCUAACUUCUCCAAGAUCUGUCUUCUUAACUGUAGAGUGGAACAAUAAGCCCACCUCGCAGGAGAACAUACAAAAACCCCAGCCCAACCCACUGCAAUCUUCAGUGAUGGGGCGAUAUGUAGCGUCAGAGCAAACCCCGGACAUGCGGUG
This is a non-coding RNA of Manis javanica (Malayan pangolin), 643 nucleotides long. NCBI's taxonomy places the organism in Eukaryota, Metazoa, Chordata, Mammalia, Pholidota, Manidae. The record is from RefSeq and is a predicted model, not a curated record.